ACCCUCUGGUUCCCUUUCCCAUUGGAUCUGAAUGCUGAAGUCUUGGUGGUCAUAAAAGUAGGGAAAGCAAGGCUGACGCUCGCCCCACAGCAUUGCAAUCUGGCAUAUAGCAUGUUGGGCUAGUUUCAAACAGGA
RNAcentral lists this small nucleolar RNA (135 nucleotides) under Castor canadensis (American beaver). RNAcentral's name for it is "Small nucleolar RNA SNORA61 (ENSCCNG00000025284.1)". It matches the Rfam family "Small nucleolar RNA SNORA61". Rfam says of the family: ACA61 is a member of the H/ACA class of snoRNA that guide the sites of modification of uridines to pseudouridines. The record is from Rfam by way of RNAcentral. Lineage: Eukaryota; Metazoa; Chordata; Mammalia; Rodentia; Castoridae.